RNAcentral lists this long non-coding RNA (335 nucleotides) under Carica papaya (papaya). RNAcentral describes it as "long non-coding RNA (CPAP_LNC013972)". Lineage: Eukaryota; Viridiplantae; Streptophyta; Magnoliopsida; Brassicales; Caricaceae. The record is from RNAcentral.
AUAUCAUCAUGUUUAAUGGGUCAAAUUACAAUAUAAUGGAUUGACAAAUUUAGGCAAACCUUUCAAAUUUAUAUUCAAGAAUAAAUUAAUGAAGAAAGGGUUGGACCAAAUUUUGCAACUCAUGAAAAAUGGAGGUCGAGUUCAUAAGCCAUUGGAAUAAGUGACUAAUCACUCCUAUAAAUCAUGGAAACUCGGCCAACAUUUCUACAAGCUAAUCACUAAGAAUCUUUAAAGUCUUAAACAUUUGGUCAAUCACUUUUCUACAAAUCAAAUCAUCAAGAGUUCUUGUCAAUCACUCAUUUUAUCAUGAUCGAAUUUCAACUUCACUCUCAUAA